UCAGGAACUGAAGUUUUUUCGCAGAGCAGAAGGAGGGAGCCUCUAGCGUUCGGCAGCCAGAGAGAGCAGCGCGACCGGAGGGGGAUGGGGGGAAGGAAACCGACCCAGGCCGCAGGACCCCUGAAAGGUGGGAACCCCGUGAAGGGGAGAAAUGAGUGACAAAUCGCUUUCAACGUUUUCCCCCUAGGUUUUUCUUCCUGCCUUCCAGCUCUGCUCCAGACCCUUCGGGAGGGGAUGCGGGGCGCGCGGAGCCCCCCCAGCUCCUGGCAGACCCCAGCUGGGCAGGGACACAUCGUGCUGCCCACCCGGUGCCACCCGCCAGCCCCUGCAGCUCUGCCCUCCUGCACCAGCGACGCCACCUUCAUAAAAUGAGUGAGAAUAAGCUUUUUGAGUCCACUCUUGGAAGGGCAAAAGGGACAGGAGCUGGACACUGCCCUUUGAACCUUUGUAUCUGUGGGACACAGCAACAUGGAAACCUCCUCAUGACAUUGCAAGAAAUUAAAAAUGAGAGAAGCUCCUCCUCAUUCACAAUGACCAGUCAUCAUGAUCCAGGCCAAAGGGCAUCACUUCUGUCAAAAAAUAAAAAGUCAGUAAAAGAAGUUCCUGUUUUCA
Apus apus (common swift) is the source of this 612-nucleotide long non-coding RNA. RefSeq lists it as uncharacterized. NCBI's taxonomy places the organism in Eukaryota, Metazoa, Chordata, Aves, Apodiformes, Apodidae. The record is from RefSeq and is a predicted model, not a curated record. The transcript has 2 exons.